Molecule: ribosomal RNA, 237 nt
Filed under: uncultured fungus
Lineage: Eukaryota; Fungi
Description: partial 26S ribosomal RNA
Rfam family: Eukaryotic large subunit ribosomal RNA
Source: RNAcentral
GCAUAUCAAUAAGCGGAGGAAAAGAAAUUAACUAAGAUUGCCCUAGUAACGGCGAGCGAACCGGCAUCAGCCCAACUUGAAAAUCUCUUCGGAGAAUUGUAGUCUAUCGAAGCGCCCUCUGUGGCAGGCGGAGCUCAAGUCUGCUCUUGAACGCAGCGUCAGGGAGGGUGACAACCCCGUCGGCUCCAGCCCAGCUACUCCACGAGGUGCUUUCCACGAGUCGAGUUGUUUGGGAAU